This 207-nucleotide long non-coding RNA is filed under the name Elaeis guineensis (African oil palm). Its description in RNAcentral is "long non-coding RNA (EGUI_LNC006487)". Lineage: Eukaryota; Viridiplantae; Streptophyta; Magnoliopsida; Arecales; Arecaceae. The record is from RNAcentral.
GGGAGUGGGAAGAACAUCCAAUUUUAAGAAGAUUUAUGGAUUUGAAGACUCAUAUGUUAGCACCUUCUAGCCGAAUAUACCAAUGACAUCGUUGGAGAUCUCUUUCUUGGCAAGUCAGAGAGGUCCAUUGUCUUGGCAUGAGAAAAAUUAGCUGGAGGGCAUCCUCGAUCUCUUUAGACCAUCUCAUCUUGCUGAUGUGUCGGCAUG